GUUGUAUGGUUAAGUGACUAAGCGUACAGGGCGGAUGCCUUGGCAAUCAGAGGCGAUGAAGGACGUGCUA
Molecule: ribosomal RNA, 70 nt
Filed under: Pasteurella multocida
Lineage: Bacteria; Pseudomonadati; Pseudomonadota; Gammaproteobacteria; Pasteurellales; Pasteurellaceae
Description: partial 23S ribosomal RNA
Source: RNAcentral